GAUGAACGCUGACAGAAUGCUUAACACAUGCAAGUCAACUUGAAUUUGGGUUUUUAACUUAGGUUUGGGUGGCGGACGGGUGAGUAACGCGUAAAGAACUUGCCUCACAGGUAGGGACAACAUUUGGAAACGAAUGCUAAUACCUAAUAUUAUGAUAAUAGGGCAUCCUAUAAUUAUGAAAGCUAUAAGCGCUGUGAGAGAGCUUUGCGUCCCAUUAGCUAGUUGGAGAGGUAACGGCUCACCAAGGCGAUGAUGGGUAGCCGGCCUGAGAGGGUGAUCGGCCACGAGGGGACUGAGACACGGCCCUUACUCCUACGGGAGGCAGCAGUGGGGAAUAUUGGACAAUGGACCGAGAGUCUGAUCCAGCAAUUCUGUGUGCACGAUGAAGUUUUUCGGAAUGUAAAGUGCUUUCAGUUGGGAAGAAACAAAUGACGGUACCAACAGAAGAA
RNAcentral lists this ribosomal RNA (449 nucleotides) under Fusobacterium naviforme. RNAcentral describes it as "bacterial SSU rRNA". It matches the Rfam family "Bacterial small subunit ribosomal RNA", at positions 28 to 489 of the family's 1533-position model. Lineage: Bacteria; Fusobacteriati; Fusobacteriota; Fusobacteriia; Fusobacteriales; Fusobacteriaceae. The record is from RNAcentral.